This 399-nucleotide ribosomal RNA is filed under the name uncultured bacterium. Its description in RNAcentral is "partial 16S ribosomal RNA". It matches the Rfam family "Bacterial small subunit ribosomal RNA", at positions 355 to 770 of the family's 1533-position model. The record is from RNAcentral.
UGGGGAAUAUUGGACAAUGGGGGCGACCCUGAUCCAGCAAUGCCGCGUGUGUGAAGAAGGUCUUCGGAUUGUAAAGCACUUUCGACGGGGACGAUGAUGACGGUACCCGUAGAAGAAGCCCCGGCUAACUUCGUGCCAGCAGCCGCGGUAAUACAAAGGGGGCUAGCGUUGCUCGGAAUGACUGGGCGUAAAGGGCGUGUAGGCGGUUUACACAGUCAGAUGUGAAAUCCCCGGGCUUAACCUGGGAGCUGCAUUUGAUACGUGUAGACUAGAGUGUGAGAGAGGGUUGUGGAAUUCCCAGUGUAGAGGUGAAAUUCGUAGAUAUUGGGAAGAACACCGGUGGCGAAGGCGGCAACCUGGCUCAUGACUGACGCUGAGGCGCGAAAGCGUGGGGGAGCA